This 71-nucleotide transfer RNA is filed under the name Phrynosoma platyrhinos (Desert horned lizard). RNAcentral describes it as "tRNA-OTHER". The record is from RNAcentral. Lineage: Eukaryota; Metazoa; Chordata; Lepidosauria; Squamata; Phrynosomatidae.
GCCAGCAUGGUUUAGUGGCUUGAGUAUUGGACUAUGACUCUGGAGGCCAGGGUUUGAUUCCCUGCUUGGCC